UUAAAAGUUAAAAAAAAAACAAAAACGAUUACAAUAUAUCAAACAAAAUGGAAAGUAAAUGAUGAAAUCAAUUAUCAAAGCGUCUAUUCAUAAUUCUAUGUUAAUGGAUAAUAUUGCACGUGCAGUGGACGAAUUUGUGUGUUUAAUAACAUAAUUUUUCGGGAACUUUUCAUCAUGAGAAAGUGGCGACAAUGAAGAUAUGAAAAUAGAGUAGUUACAAUGUUUUUGAUUUCUAUGAGCCCAAAAUUCCCGACAGAAACAGAAUCAAUCAAAUUUUUUGUAAGCAAAUGCUUCUUUUCCAAUGCCAACGCUGUAGACUACUAUUCAUUGGGAGAUUCAGCAUAUCCAUGUAAAAGUAUUUACUCUCGCCACAGAGGAAUAAAAAGUUGAGCUGUUUUUGUGUUGCUAUAGAGCACACAUUGGGCAUUUUUAAACAGAGAUUUAGACCAUUGUAUUAGUGUAAAUUGCGUGGAGUUAAAACAUUUUGCUUAACAUGAAAAGUGGACCUGAAA
Molecule: long non-coding RNA, 512 nt
Organism: Ceratitis capitata (Mediterranean fruit fly)
Lineage: Eukaryota; Metazoa; Arthropoda; Insecta; Diptera; Tephritidae
Exons: 3
Source: RefSeq, a predicted model, not a curated record